Molecule: long non-coding RNA, 1301 nt
Filed under: Taeniopygia guttata (zebra finch)
Lineage: Eukaryota; Metazoa; Chordata; Aves; Passeriformes; Estrildidae
Description: lncRNA (ENSTGUG00000022892.1)
Source: RNAcentral
UUAAAAUGUUGCAUUGUUUUUAUUGGCAAAAUUUAUAAAACUGGAGCACUUCAGGAUAUUUUAGCUGCUCAUCAAGUCAAAAUGGCAGGGAGCAAUAAGAAAUGCAGUUUUAGUUGUGAUUAAUGUAGAAAUAGCCACAGAACUGGGGAAAUAGGAAAAUUCAUAAAUGAACUGCAGUUUAUCACAGGUGUUUUUUGCUUAUAAGUGUGUUUGUGCAGUCCUUUUCUCUCUCUUAGAGACACUGAAACAUAUAAGAAAUUUAACCUUUAGGAAAGAAAUCUCCUUACAACUGUAAUCCAUUUGAUUUUGCUUUCCAAGGCUGGCGAAAAGAGAUACAUGUCAAAGUAUGUGCAACAGAAACCAUGAAGGGAAAUAUAGAUAUAGCCUUGACUGGAACUAAUGGGUUCAGAAAAAAAUAUGCCAUUGACAAGGGAACUCUCAAACCAGGCAACACCUACUUGAACUACAUUGAUACAGAAAUUCCUGGGAACAUUUCAAAAGUUGAGUUUCUCUGGAAAAAGCAAGUAGGUCAUGCAGACAGAGGCUGCAUGGGAGCUGAAGAAGUCCGAAUAAUAUCUGGUGAAAAUGGGAAUGUGUCUGUGUUCUGUGGGUGUGGAGCUGUGCAGCCCAGCAUGUGGCAAGCCCUGGCUCUGUGCUGAGGGCCAGGAACGCCUGGAGCCCUGCAGCAACCCUCACCAGCUGGAACAGGACACCACAGGCAGCAGCAAAGGACUAACAAGGCUCCCUCAACAGACUUGGAGAAAUUUGUCCAGCCCUCCAUAAAAGCUCAAUUUCCAAGUUAGUGCUGUCACCUUUUCUCCAUGCUACACUCCUGUGAACUAUGGUUACAAUGACAGAAAACACAUAUGUUACUAAUAACCAGCUGGACUCUUUUCUAUACCUGAAACAUGCAUUUCCUUUAUCAAAACUAUUGUACUACUGAGGAACUUGAAUUUUCUGGCAGCCUUCAAUAAAAAACCCUAUUUUCUCUUUGCCAGUGAAACUUAAUUUUCCACCUUUACUUUGCCUUUGUGACAAUGCUGAAGUCAGAUUUGAGCUACAUCAUUUGGAUUAGCAUUGCCACUCCAAAUUUGUUAGCAUUUUGAUUGUACUGAUUAGCAAAACCAGACCACUAACAGUUAUCAGCAUCAGCCAAAAUAAGCUAAGGUUCCUUUGUUUCAAUGCAGGCUACCCACAAAAAAUUCUUUCAUUUUUUAAUUACCAGCUGUUGUCUGAGGCAUGCAACAGAUUUUUGCAUCUGAUGUAAAGUUUAUCAUUUGGGUGCAGAAAUUAAGUUGGGC